AAAUGAAUAGACGGGGGCCCGCACAAGCAGCGGAGCAUGUGGUUUAAUUCGAAGCAACGCGAAGAACCUUACCAGGUCUUGACAUCCAGGUAAAGCCGCGGAGACGCGGUGUGUGCUUGCACAAUCUGAGACAGGUGGUGCAUGGUUGUCGUCAGCUCGUGUCGUGAGAUGUUGGGUUAAGUCCCGCAACGAGCGCAACCCUUGUGAUCAGUUACUAACGGGCAAAGCCGAGGACUCUGAUAAGACUGCCGGGGACAACUCGGAGGAAGGUGGGGACGACGUCAAAUCAUCAUGCCCCUUAUGACCUGGGCUACACACGUGCUACAAUGGCCACUACAGAGAGAGGCGAAUUCGAGAGGAAGAGCGGAUCUCAGAAAAGUGGUCCCAGUUCGGAUUGUGGGCUGCAACCCGCCCACAUGAAGUCGGAGUUGCUAGUAAUCGCGGAUCAGCAUGCCGCGGUGAAUACGUUCCCGGGCCUUGUACACACCGCCCGU
RNAcentral lists this ribosomal RNA (494 nucleotides) under uncultured bacterium. RNAcentral describes it as "bacterial SSU rRNA". It matches the Rfam family "Bacterial small subunit ribosomal RNA", at positions 903 to 1397 of the family's 1533-position model. The record is from RNAcentral.